GAUGAAGAACGCAGCGAAAUGCGAUAAGUAAUGCGAAUUGCAGAAUUUCCGUGAGUCAUCGAAUCUUUGAACGCACAUUGCGCCCCCUGGUAUUCCGGGGGGCAUGCCUGUCCGAGCGUCAUUGCUGCCCUCAAGCACGGCUUGUGUGUUGGGCCUCCGCCCCCCGGCUCCCGGGGGGCGGGCCCGAAAGGCAGCGGCGGCACCGCGUCCGGUCCUCGAGCGUAUGGGGCUUCGUCACCCGCUCCGUAGGCCCGGCCGGCGCCCGCCGGCGACCCCCCUCAAUCUUUCCAGGUUGACCUCGGAUCAGGUAGGGAUACCCGCUGAACUUAGGCAUAUCAAUAAGCGAGGA
RNAcentral lists this unclassified non-coding RNA (349 nucleotides) under soil metagenome. RNAcentral describes it as "partial contains 5.8S ribosomal RNA, internal transcribed spacer 2, and large subunit ribosomal RNA". The stretch from base 1 to 121 matches the Rfam family "5.8S ribosomal RNA", at positions 35 to 154 of the family's 154-position model. The record is from RNAcentral.